ACGGGCUAUUACAAUCUCUCUCCAAUUCUCUGGUUCUUCAAUUCAAAGGCCUCUUCCUUUCAUUUCAUUCAAAUCCCUCCAAAACACCACCAACUACAUCCGAAUUCGAACAAAUCGUAUCUUCUCAAGUUCAAGCUCUCAAGUUCGCAUCCACUAAAAUCUGUCGAGCACCUUUUUAGUUUUACGGCGAGCGAACGAAAGUAAGACCUUCAGCGAACGAACGAAAGUCAUUCAUGAGUAAGACCUUUUCGUUUUUCGGCGAGCGAACGAACGAAAGAAAAUUCUGAUUUUCCGUUUCUCGUUUUCAGCACUUUAACAGAUCUGGAAAUCGUUCUUGUCGAAGUCGUCUCCCUCGAGUCAUUGGAAAACUCGGCCUUAAUCUUUUCACAUGGAAUAGGAAUUGUACCCAGAUAUAUAGUUACUUAUAACAUUAUUUUCAGAUGGAAUUGUUGUAGAUUCAAUUUUAGUUUAACAUUUCAUUGUAUCUAUAUUAUUAUAGUGGUUCGUAAUACAUAUAUGACCUUAUUAAUGCAAAAAUACAUUUUUUUGUAUCUAUAUUAUUAGGCAGUUUGAUUGUGAUU
Beta vulgaris subsp. vulgaris (sugar beet) is the source of this 581-nucleotide long non-coding RNA. RefSeq lists it as uncharacterized. The transcript has 2 exons. The record is from RefSeq and is a predicted model, not a curated record. Lineage: Eukaryota; Viridiplantae; Streptophyta; Magnoliopsida; Caryophyllales; Amaranthaceae.